UGAGUUGAAAUCGUGAAGAACACCUCAAAAUCGCCCAAGAACCGAGCUCCAAAAAUCCCAAAAUAAAAAUGAAGAAAUCAGCAUUUUUGGUCCUUAAGUUUCUGUCCGCCCGUCACUAAAAGUCCAGUUUCGUCACUAAAAGUCGUCACUAAAAGUCCACCAGAGACAGCUUUACCAGCCAUAUUCAAUUGAUCAUAACUUUCUGUACAAAUGUCCAAAUGACAAAUGGUUUAAAUUUCUGUAAACUAGAAUACAAGGACUACAACUUUUAUGUUUUAUACAUUUUCCGAUUACAUAUAUAUUUCGAGAUAUAAGCUUCCAAAUUAGCCUCCUCGCAUCAGAAAUUUCUGGGAAAUUUCAAAACAGCUUUACUAGCCCUUAUUCAAUCGAUCAUCACUUUCUGUACAAAUAUCCAAAUGAUAAAUGGUUUAUAUUUCUGGAAACUAGAAUACAAAGGCUACAACUUUCAUGUUUUAUAUAUUUUCCGAUUCCUUAUAGAUUACGAGAAAUAAGAUUCCAAAUUAUGCUCCUCGCAUCAAAAUUUUCGAACCUUGCUGUCAAAAAUCCAGCAAGUUAAAUUGGCCUAAAAAUGGCCUGAAACCAUUCCGAAACUCACCCGAGCCCCGCGGGACUCUAACCAAGUAUGCUAACAUGUCUUAAAACAUCAUCCAAACUUGCUCCAAUCAUCAAAACACCUCAACUAACACUAAAAUCAUCGAAUUACAUCGAAUUCAAGCCUAAGUUCUUUUAAAACUUCCAAAACACGCAUUCGAUCAAAAACUCAACCAAACCAUGUCUGAAUGACCUGAAAUUUUGCGCACACAUCACAAAUAACAUAACAAAGCUACAGCAACUCUCAGAAUUCCAUUCCGACCCUCGGAUCAAAAUCUCACCUAUCAACCGGAAUUCGCUAAAAUACUAACUUCGCCAAUUCAAGCCUAAUUCUACACCGGACCUCUAAAAUUACUUCUGAUCACCCUCCUAAGUCACAAAUCAUCUCCCGGAGCUAACCGAACCAUCAGAAUUUACAUCCGAGCCCUCUAACUCAUAAGUCAGUGUUCGGUUGACUUUUUCAACUUAAGCCUUCUUAAAAGAGACUAAGUGUCUCAAUUCCUUUCAAAACCUUUCCGAAACAACUCGUUCACACCCAACACUGAUAAUGAAGCAUAAAGAAAUAGGAAAUGGGGAAAACGGGGCGGUAACUUACGAGACGACGGGUCGGAUCGUCACAAAUACCCAUUACGAGCAAAGAAUAUAAAUGCAUAGAAAACAUAAAGUCUCUAAACAAAUUCUAAAAUAAUUGCAUAACAACAGUUUAUGAAUAUUCUAAAAGAAAUUCUUUUCUUUUUCUAAAAAAAAUUACUUCUCUUUAUACUUUGGGAGUUCCAACUAUCUUGACUUAAUUCUAUCUCAGUCACCGUGUGAUCGGCACGGGUUCAAUCCCAACCUGAUCGAAUAGGCCCAAUCUACGAGGUGCCACUCGCUUCAUGGAUCUCAACGCUCAUGCAUCAUACCUUAGCAUGGCUAAGUAAUUUCUCAGCAACGAGACACUCGGCCCAUGUGCUCCCUACUUUGGCACAAGUAGUUUUAGGAAGUCAACGCCUUGGCCAGGAAUCUCGGCUUGGACGAUGAACCCUUUUCAGAAUAAAGGAUACUCUCAAGAAUCUUUUCUUUCUACAUCUUCUUGUGACUUUUCAAGUCUAUAUCUUUUCUUUUUGGAACAUCAUGUACAUGCUCAUGUUGUUAUCCUUAAAUGUAAAGCAUUGCAUAAUAAUGAAAUAAACAUCUAGAAGUAUUUCUAAAAAUUCUUGCUUCUUCAUAAAUUUUCAACAUGAAAAAUAGGAUAUAAGAAUAACACAAAAAUCUGAAAAUUUAUGCACAUAUAUCAUAAUAAAUCAUCUAAACUUUUGCUAGAACAAUUCUAAGUUAAUAGGUACUCACUCGCUCCAAUUAAGUAAAUAUAAACUCUUUUAAGAAAUUCAUCAAACACCUUGUAUGUGUGCUUUUGUGAGUUAAACCACUUUGGAAAAGGGUUAUAUCAACUCAUCUCAAAACUUCUCGAGCCAAUACGCAGGCCUCAGUCUAAUUGACACCAGUCAAACAAUUGAUUCUACAACAACCGGUGCAUUUUAAUCAAUUUUAAAGUUUCACACUAAAACAUGAAAUUUAUUGAUGAUAUAGAGGAAGAAAGGAAUUAACUAUCCAAUUCUUACAUACUGCUACUUUAGGGUAAUUGACAAUAGGAAAUUUUAUAUACCUGAGUUCAAGAAUUGGUAGUUUGUAAAGAACCCUAAAAUUUUCUUUUCGUUCCUGCUGCUUUGCGCUUGCUGCGUAAACAAAAUAACAUUAUGUUUCUUGUAUAAGGGCUAAGCAACG
Molecule: long non-coding RNA, 2376 nt
Filed under: Nicotiana tabacum (common tobacco)
Lineage: Eukaryota; Viridiplantae; Streptophyta; Magnoliopsida; Solanales; Solanaceae
Description: long non-coding RNA (NTAB_LNC014026)
Source: RNAcentral